Molecule: transfer RNA, 87 nt
Filed under: Candidatus Blochmannia vicinus (nom. nud.)
Lineage: Bacteria; Pseudomonadati; Pseudomonadota; Gammaproteobacteria; Enterobacterales; Enterobacteriaceae
Description: Candidatus Blochmannia vicinus tRNA-Leu
Rfam family: tRNA
About the family: Transfer RNA (tRNA) molecules are approximately 80 nucleotides in length. Their secondary structure includes four short double-helical elements and three loops (D, anti-codon, and T loops).
Source: RNAcentral
ACCGAGGUGGUGGAACAGGCAGACACGCUACUUUGAGGUGGUAGUUUCUCUUUUUUGAGAUUACGGGUUCAAAUCCCGUCCUCGGUA